This is a long non-coding RNA of Manduca sexta (tobacco hornworm), 1343 nucleotides long. RefSeq lists it as uncharacterized. NCBI's taxonomy places the organism in Eukaryota, Metazoa, Arthropoda, Insecta, Lepidoptera, Sphingidae. The record is from RefSeq and is a predicted model, not a curated record. The transcript has 2 exons.
GAUAAAGAAAAUGUCUUGGAACAAUUGUCUCUGCUCAAACGGAAAAUAAUAUUUUUCGGGUGCUUGUACCUCGUAGCUAUUUAUUAAAAGUUAAUUCCUGUGUUCAAAUGCACGUUAAUUGUGCAAUAGACGAUGAGUAAGCGUUAUGACUAAAAUCAAUAUGAAGGAUGUUAUGCGCCGUGUAGCUUGCGGCUUCGCCCACGGGAAAAUCUUUUCUGAUACAUGUCCUGAAAUCACUGUAGUGCUUAAUAGCGCCUACUAUGCGAGGCCAGCGCGAUAUAUUUAAUAAUCAGAUAAAAAAAAGAAAUAUUUCCUACGUGAGCAAAUUGCCAGGAUAAAAAUUACUCUAAGUAAGUAUAUGUUAAUUCAGAUCAAGGUCUCUGCGUGUUUCAAAAUUUUGUCGAAGUCCGUUAAGCGGUUUCUGUGUUUACUUCAUUUAGUUACUCAAUGUCCAUAUUCCAAACGUAUUCUCAAACAUUUACAUUUAUAAUAAGAUUGAAUGGUACUGCGGUCACUCUUAAUCAAAUGUUCAUCUAAAUAGAUACUACCGUUUUGUCUGUUUACUGUAGCCAAUAUAAUUACCAGACGUUGGAAAACUUAGCUUUCACGUUCUCUUAUGACAAUAUUGUACUAUAUAUGAAUUCUAAGAUAUAAAACAAUUUAUUUGUAAUUAUGAUUUCUAAUUUCUAGGCAAUCUUAGCGUACCUAUUGGGGCUUUUGUGUUACGCAUGCGUGGCUUUAGACACAAAUGUUGGUAUAAUAAUCUAGAGAACAACCGAAAAUUAAGUGCUGUCGUAGAUACCGUAAGGACAAUAAAUAAAACUAGAGACUUUCUCAGUUUAAUUGAAAUACCUAUUACCUAGUAAAUAAAUUGAAAUUUAUUGUUAGUUAAAUAUUAAUUUGGGCUUACUUAUUUGGAAAUUACUACUUAGAUUUAUUGUGGGCGGAAAAUACACAUGAUCACUUAUGUAGAGCGAUACUUAUAAGUUUAUAUAUAAUAUGGUACAGAGUACCUUUAUCUCACACAUUAUUUAUAAUUUUGCACACGUUUUACUGUUUGUAAUGUUACACCCGUUAUGUAGAUACAUAGGUACCUACUUACCUAAUCGUAUUUGUACAUGUGCAGGAAAUUGCUCAGAACAACAUGUAGUUAAGGUAAUAAAUGUAUCCGCAAUUUUACCGAUGGUUUGUGGAAGUACCUUUAGCACAAUAUUCUAAUGUUUUCAUCUAUGUGAAAAGGUACCUACUUCAUAGUUUUCUGUAAUUGCACUGGAUUUUUUUAUUACAGUAGCAUUUUAUUUGACUAUGAAGUGAGACUAAAAUAAAUGUGAUUAUGAAAACAU